Molecule: ribosomal RNA, 323 nt
Filed under: uncultured eukaryote
Lineage: Eukaryota
Description: partial 18S ribosomal RNA
Rfam family: Eukaryotic small subunit ribosomal RNA
Source: RNAcentral
CCCUUAGAUGUUCUGGGCCGCACGCGCGCUACACUGACGAAUGCAACGAGCUUAUAACCUUGGCCGAAAGGUCUGGGUAAUCUCCAAAUUUCGUCGUGAUGGGGAUAGAUUAUUGCAAUUAUUAAUCUUCAACGAGGAAUGCCUAGUAAGCGCAAGUCAUCAGCUUGCGUUGAUUACGUCCCUGCCCUUUGUACACACCGCCCGUCGCUCCUACCGAUUGAAUGGUCCGGUGAAAUCUCCGGACUGGCGUGAGUCGGAGCAAUCUGACAAACGCCGGAAAGUUGAUUAAACCUUACCAUUUAGAGGAAGGUGAAGUCGUAACA